GCUGGGAUAGCUCAGUUAGUAAAGCAUGAGACUCCUAAUCUCAGGUUCAAGCCCCACACUGAACA
Podarcis lilfordi (Lilford's wall lizard) is the source of this 65-nucleotide non-coding RNA. The record is from the annotation of a GenBank genome assembly. Lineage: Eukaryota; Metazoa; Chordata; Lepidosauria; Squamata; Lacertidae.